RNAcentral lists this long non-coding RNA (1740 nucleotides) under Sus scrofa (pig). RNAcentral describes it as "lncRNA (ENSSSCG00025023924.1)". The record is from RNAcentral. Lineage: Eukaryota; Metazoa; Chordata; Mammalia; Artiodactyla; Suidae.
UUUUUUUUUUUUUUUUGGUUGGAUGGUCUCUGGUUAUUAUCUGCUUGAGUGCUUUCUUUUUUUUUUUUCGUUUUUGUGAAUGCAAUAUUUGGUUUUGGCUUGUGGUUGCCCUGUUUUUUAAGUAUGCUAACCCCUUCCCAUAAUUGUGUGUUUUAGCCUGAUCGUCCUGUGGUUUCAAACAUUUCAUUACUAUAUUAAAAUUAGGAAGCGAAACAAACAAUAAGGGUCUAUUUAUUUCCUAACAUUCCUUGCCCUCAUUUUAUGAUUUUGAUGACUCUUUUUUUUCUUUUUAAUUUUAUUUUGUUUGAAACAUGUUCAUGAUUUAAUCUGUAUGCUGGCUUAUUUGAGUGACUGCUCUCUGAUUGUGGUUUCCUCAGUCCUAGUUCUUCCUCUUCUUUUAUUUUUCUAUUUCCUCCAUUUCCUUCCUUCCUUUCUUUUUGAUUUAGAAAAGCCCUUUCAGUAUUUCUUUUAGCCUGGGUUUUGCAUUGCUGUAUUCUUUUAGUUUUUGUUUGUUGGAAAAAAAAUUUAUCUCCCCUUCUAUUUUAAAUGAUAUUCUUGGUGGAUAGAGUAUUCUAAGUUGCAUAUUUUUUCCUUUGAGCACUUUAAAUAUCUCUUGCCAUUCCCUCCUGGCCUGUAGUGUUUCUGUAGAGAAAUCAGCUGAUAUUCUUAUGGGGGUUCCCUUGUAGGUAACAUUCUGUUUUUUCUCUUUGCUUUUCCCAUGGUUGAUUUCUAAUUUCAUGGCAUUGUGGUCAGAGAAGAUACUUGAGAUAAUUUCUAUGCUCCUAAAUUUAUUGAGAUUCGCUUUGUGUCCCAAUAUGUGGUCGAUUCUUGAGAAUGUUCCAUGAGCAUUUGAGAAGAAUGUGUAUUCUGAUUUUUUUGGAUGUAGUGUCCUGAAGAUAUCAAUUAAGUCUAACUUUUCUAUUGUUUCCUUUAGGAUCUCUGUUGCUUUAUUGGUUUUCUGUCUAGAGGAUCUGUCCAUUGAUGUGAGGGGGGUAUUUAGGUCUCCUACUAUGAUUGUAUUCUCAUCAAUAUCUCCCUUUAUGUCUGUUAAUAUUUGUUGUAUGUAUCUGGGUGCUCCUAUAUUUGGGGCAUAUAUGUUGAUGAUAGUAACAUCCUCUCCUUGGAUGGAUCCCUUAAUCAUUAAAUAGUGUCCUUCUUUGUCUUUCUUUAUGUCUUUUGUUUUAAAGUCUAUUUUGUCUGAUAUGAGCGUUGCGACUCCUGCUUUUCUGUCAUGUCUAUUGGCGUGAAAUAUUUUUCCCCACCCUUUCACUUUCAAUCUAUAUGUAUCUUUUGUCCUAAGGUGAGUUUCUUGUAGGCAGCAUAUUGAAGGUUUUUGCCUUUUUAUCCACUCAGCCACUCUGUGUCUUUUGAUUGGGGCAUUCAGUCCAUUGACAUUUAAGGUGAUAAUUGAUAGAUGAUUAUUUAUUGCCAUUUGAACCUCGUGUUCCAGUUGAUUCUAUGGUUCUCCAUUCUUCCUCUUUUUUUUUUUUUUGGUUGGAUGGUCUCCUGUUAUUAUCUGCUUGAGAGUGUUUUUUUUUUUUCAUUUUUUGCAAAUGCAAUAUUUGGUUUUGGCUUGUGGUUGCCCUGUUUUUUAAGUAUGCUAACCCCUUCCCAUAAUUGUGUGUUUUAGCCUGAUGGUCCUGUAAGUUCAAACACUUCAUUAGUACAUUAAAAUUAAGAAGUGAAACAUACAAACAACCAAACAAAAAGGGUUAUUUAUUUCCUAACAUCCCUUGCCCA